UACGUAGGGGGCUAGCGUUGUCCGGAUUUAUUGGGCGUAAAGAGCGUGUAGGCGGCCAGGUAGGUCUGCUGUGAAAACUCGAGGCUCAACCUCGAGACGUCGGCGGAAACCAUCUGGCUAGAGUCCGGAAGAGGAGAGUGGAAUUCCUGGUGUAGCGGUGAAAUGCGCAGAUAUCAGGAAGAACACCCGUGGCGAAGGCGACUACCUGGCCUGUUCUUGACGCUGAGGCGCGAAAGCUAGGGGAGCAAACGGG
This 253-nucleotide ribosomal RNA is filed under the name uncultured bacterium. RNAcentral's name for it is "partial 16S ribosomal RNA". It matches the Rfam family "Bacterial small subunit ribosomal RNA", at positions 524 to 776 of the family's 1533-position model. The record is from RNAcentral.